AGCGAACGCUGGCGGCGUGGUUUAGACAUGCAAGUCGAGCGGAAAGGCCCUUCGGGGCACUCGAGCGGCGAACGGGAGAGUAAUACCUGGGUAACCAUCCCCGGAGACGGGAAUAGCCACUGGAAACGGUGGGUAAUGCCCGAUAGCCCCCGCGGGCCGCAGGGCCUGCGGAGUAAAAGGUGACUCCGCUCCGGGACGGGCUCAGGGCCCAUUAGCUAGUUGGCGGGGUAACGGCCCACCAAGGCGACGAUGGGUAGCGGGCCUGAGAGGGUGGUCCGCCUCACUGGGACUGAGACACUGCCCAGACUCCUACGGGAGGCUGCAGUCGCGAAUCAUUGGCAAUGCGCGCAA
This 351-nucleotide ribosomal RNA is filed under the name uncultured bacterium. RNAcentral's name for it is "bacterial SSU rRNA". It matches the Rfam family "Bacterial small subunit ribosomal RNA", at positions 28 to 380 of the family's 1533-position model. The record is from RNAcentral.